RNAcentral lists this ribosomal RNA (370 nucleotides) under uncultured organism. RNAcentral describes it as "partial 16S ribosomal RNA". It matches the Rfam family "Bacterial small subunit ribosomal RNA", at positions 527 to 896 of the family's 1533-position model. The record is from RNAcentral.
GGAGGGUGCGAGCGUUAAUCGGAAUUACUGGGCGUAAAGCGCGCGUAGGCGGCUUGGUCAGUCGGAUGUGAAAGCCCCGGGCUUAACCUGGGAAUUGCAUUCGAUACUGCCAGACUAGAGUAUGGGAGAGGGAAGCGGAAUUUCCGGUGUAGCGGUGAAAUGCGUAGAUAUCGGAAGGAACACCAGUGGCGAAGGCGGCUUCCUGGCCCAAUACUGACGCUGAGGUGCGAAAGCGUGGGGAGCGAACAGGGAUUAGAUACCCUGGUAGUCCACGCCGUAAACGAUGAGAACUAGAUGUCGGGAGGAUUUGCCUCUCGGUGUCGCAGCUAACGCGUUAAGUUCACCGCCUGGGGAUACGCCGGCAACGGUA